RNAcentral lists this ribosomal RNA (253 nucleotides) under uncultured bacterium. RNAcentral describes it as "partial 16S ribosomal RNA". It matches the Rfam family "Bacterial small subunit ribosomal RNA", at positions 524 to 776 of the family's 1533-position model. The record is from RNAcentral.
UACGUAGGGUGCGAGCGUUAAUCGGAAUUACUGGGCGUAAAGCGUGCGCAGGCGGUUGUGUAAGACAGGUGUGAAAUCCCCGGGCUUAACCUGGGAACUGCGCUUGUGACUGCACGGCUAGAGUACGGCAGAGGGGGGUGGAAUUCCACGUGUAGCAGUGAAAUGCGUAGAGAUGUGGAGGAACACCGAUGGCGAAGGCAGCCCCCUGGGCCUGUACUGACGCUCAUGCACGAAAGCGUGGGGAGCAAACAGG